AACUUAGGUAGAGGUGCGAAACUUAAUAGUAGUAUUAUGGAGGUAAGAUCAGUGAAGUAAUACGAAAGGAUUUUUCGCCGAAGUGAAUAGCAAAUUUCUUUACUGCUGUUUACUGGGCUUAUGUAAAAUAUGCAUAAGACUGUCACAAUUUAUUUUGUGGAGAGCUAUUUUCAAU
Molecule: non-coding RNA, 175 nt
Filed under: Clostridium puniceum
Lineage: Bacteria; Bacillati; Bacillota; Clostridia; Eubacteriales; Clostridiaceae
Description: Lysine sequence
Rfam family: Lysine riboswitch aptamer
About the family: Riboswitches are metabolite binding domains within certain messenger RNAs that serve as precision sensors for their corresponding targets.
Source: Rfam by way of RNAcentral